CUGUAUGCGGGUGAUGGCGUCCACCCUUAACCGCCCGGCAAGGGCUGAUGACGCCUGUUUUCGG
RNAcentral lists this non-coding RNA (64 nucleotides) under Archaeoglobus veneficus. Its description in RNAcentral is "Fluoride sequence". It matches the Rfam family "Fluoride riboswitch aptamer (crcB RNA motif)". RNAcentral also lists the same sequence under 1 other name. Lineage: Archaea; Methanobacteriati; Methanobacteriota; Archaeoglobi; Archaeoglobales; Archaeoglobaceae. The record is from RNAcentral.